RNAcentral lists this long non-coding RNA (423 nucleotides) under Homo sapiens (human). Its description in RNAcentral is "non-protein coding lnc-TUBA1C-1:13". Lineage: Eukaryota; Metazoa; Chordata; Mammalia; Primates; Hominidae. The record is from RNAcentral.
AGUACUGCAGUGUGCGGCGCAUGGCUGCGAGGGCCUGCCGAGGGGCGGGCGCGAGUCGGAAAGACACCGACCAGGGAAUGGGCGACGAGGCUUGCCUUAAUUCGGAGGAAACCCAGGACUUGAGAGAGCCAUACAAUUUGAAAGACGAAGCACCGUGAAAUGCAGAAAGUUGUGGUUCGGAUAGCUCAGCUGAUUAAUUUCAUGUUGCCACAGUUUGUCAAACAUGGACAAGAUGGCUGGGGUCCUGUGGAGUUCUAGUAAUCUUCUUACGAUAAUAAAGCAACCUUAUGCCAUAUGAUAUGCUAAGGAUGGAGGAAGAUAGAGUCUAGGUGCCUGAUGACAACAUGGAGCUGUCAAGCCCUGCAUUGCCUCCCCCUGGACGUCUCAUUAUGGGAGAAAAUGAAGCAAUUUGUUUAAGCCACA